UUUGUGUUUGUGACAUUUUCAGACAUUUCUUAGAGAUUCUGAUGACUUUCUGAGGUCACUUUUAGAACCACUCUGUGGCUCUAUAAAAUAGUCAGCUUAGCCCAGUGUUUCUUACCGAUGGGACAGGACUUCUGUAGUCACAGGCUUCACCACACCAGCCUGCUUUUCACAUUUGUGUAACUCCCUGGUUUCUGCAACCGUUUUAUUGCCAACUGCUGAAAGGCCAUUCCACUUACAUUUUUCAUUAAGGAGCUACCUCAGAAACCCUGGAUUUAGAGCACAAAUCCUAGCUGCAAGUGCCACUUCAUUCAGAGUGAUUUUUGAGAAAGACAUAUGUACAAAAGAAGAGAGUAGACAGAGGUACUUACAUAAACGUAAAUAGCUAUCACUGGCUUGGGUUUUGGCAUCUCCAAGUCUCAGCAGGUAAUCCUUGUGAGCUACGCUGGAUUAAAUGUGAAAAGAACAGGAUAUCUGGGACCUGCAUGUAAUAACACCAACUGAUUUUAAGCAAGAUUUGAGGUAAAAUCGAAUUGGUCUUUGGAAAGCUGAGACAUCAGGAGUGCAAGAGCAGCUUGAGCAACAUGGUGGAAUCCCAUCUCUACUAAAAAUACCGAAAUUAGCCCAGCAUAGAGGCAUGUGCUUGUAGUCCCAGUUACUUGGGAGGCUGAGAUGGGAGGAUAGCUUGAGCCUGGAAGGUCAAGGCUUCAUCAAGCCUGCAAUGAGUCAUGAUCUGACUACUGCACUCCAGCCUGGGGAACAGAGUGAGACCCUACCGCAAAAUGAAAACAAACAAACAACAACAAAAACAAAAACAGAGAAAAGAAAAGAAGAAAAAAAAUCUAAUUUGAUAUUGAAUGGAAAGUUGGUGUGUAAGCAAAAAGGAACAGAAGCCGUCAGUAAAGCAGGGCAUAAAUGUGCUCUUAGCAAACCAAAAGCAAUUCUCAUGGGUCAGUUGCGGAAGAACUUGCAAGGAAUUUGGAAUCAGAAGACAGAAAUUCAUUCUUGGCUCUGCCACUCACAUGUGAUCUUCUACUUGUUAGCUAAAUUUCUAGUGCCUAAAGCAGCCAGAUAACCCUCAAUGAGCCCUUGUGUCAUCCCUUUCCUCCCAGGAUAAGGUUUCACCUUUGUGGCCAAUAGUGCAUGGCAGAAAUAAUGUGCUGACACUUGUAAGAUUAGGUGAUAAAAACAGGCUUCUGUUAGAGGCAUGUAUUCCUUCUCUCUUACUCACUUUAGGGGAAGUCAGCUGCCUUGUCUUGAGGAUACUCAGGCAACUCUGUAGAGAAGCUUAUGUGGCAAGAAACCGAAAGUUUCAGAGAACAAGGAAAUGAGGACUCCAGCCAUUUGCUUCUCGGAAGCAAAGACUGAAUUUCCAACCAGUGCUUUACAUGAUGAUGCAGUGAUCAAAACAUCAUGAGUAACUGAACAAAAACCAUCCAGCGAUGCCAUUCUGGGAUUCCUGACACUCGGAAGUUGUAAAAUACACAUGAAUAAAUAUUUCUUACACAGUACCUCUCUUGUACAGCCUCAUCUCUAAAAAUAAGAAUAAUGGUUUCUUCACAGAGUCUUGGAGGGUUCAAAAGAGAGCAAGUUGCAAACUAUAAAGUAUCAGUACAAAUGCUAAUUACUAAAUGUAUUUCACAAGUCCAUUUACCACCUUCAGGUUUCCUGGGUGCUCUAAGAUUUCCCUUAUUUCUCCUUAAUAAAUCACCAAGAGUUACU
Molecule: long non-coding RNA, 1719 nt
Organism: Callithrix jacchus (white-tufted-ear marmoset)
Lineage: Eukaryota; Metazoa; Chordata; Mammalia; Primates; Cebidae
Source: Ensembl